CCAAGUAAAUCCUCACCAGAUUGUCAACUGAGAGACAUUCUUCCAGUUCUGUGUGCCUGGAUCUGCCUGUAGUAGACAUACAAGGUGUUGCUCAGUCCAAAAUCCUAGGGAACGUCUAUAAAGGUACACCAGCUACAUCCUAGUGUACUGACAGUUCUUCCUGCCUGAACUCAUGCAGACCUUGCUGGCUGUGGAUUGGAGAAGUGCAGAACCAUGGUUGGAAAUGUGAAGUAUUCCAGCAUGGGUUUAAUACCUCAAGAAUACGUUGCUUGGAUAGUGUGCAGUGAAUGGAGUGGUGUUAAAGGCAGUAAAGAUGAAUUUCAAGCGGAACACAUCAUCUGUCUUGGCUCGCUAUGCAAUGCGCUGUCCUAUAGAAUUUCCUUUAAAUACACAAUGGGUUUGUAGAGAAAACAUAUUUUUCUCCUGUAUUGUUCACUCCUUUUUACUUGGAAAAGUUAAUUAAGCAGACUAGGACAACAAAAUUUCUUCUAAGGAGAUAAAACAAAAACAAAAACAAACAAACAAACAAACAAAAACAAACAAACAAACAUCAUCAACAAAAAAACACACAAAAAAAAGAGCAGAGGGCUAAGUCCUUCAACUUGCAUACAUCUAAAAUUAAUUAGAAAAACUUGUAUCUAAAUCUACAAGUGCAUUUGUUUCUAUCCUAGUGCUUUUGAGGUCUGAAAUGUGGGGAUACAUUUUAUAUGCAAGUACAAAAUAUGUGGUUCAAAAUUUUCCUUUUUUAACUGUAAUGGGAGUUUUUUAUAAUCUUGCACAUUAUUUCAAAUGCAUGAAUUCCAUUCAAUAAAAAAAAAAAAAAUCCUCUCUAUUGGAACUGU
RNAcentral lists this long non-coding RNA (842 nucleotides) under Anas platyrhynchos platyrhynchos (common mallard). RNAcentral describes it as "lncRNA (ENSAPLG00000018583.1)". Lineage: Eukaryota; Metazoa; Chordata; Aves; Anseriformes; Anatidae. The record is from RNAcentral.